UGGGGAAUCUUGCGCAAUGGACGAAAGUCUGACGCAGCCACGCCGCGUGAGUGAAGAAGGCCUUCGGGUUGUAAAGCUCUGUCGGAGGGGACGAAAAUGCCCAGGGUUCACAGCCCCGGGUACUGACGGUACCCUCAAAGGAAGCACCGGCUAACUUCGUGCCAGCAGCCGCGGUAAUACGAGGGGUGCAAGCGUUGCUCGGAAUUAUUGGGCGUAAAGGGGAGGUAGGUGGUCUCAUUUGUCUGGGGUGAAAGCCUUGGGCUUAACUCAAGAAGUGCCCCAGAAACGGUGAGACUAGAGUCCUGGAGAGGGUCGUGGAAUUCCCGGUGUAGCGGUGAAAUGCGUAGAGAUCGGGAGGAACACCAGAGGCGAAGGCGGCGACCUGGACAGGUACUGACACUCAACUCCGAAAGCGUGGGGAGCAAACAGGAUUAGAUACCCGGGUAGUCC
RNAcentral lists this ribosomal RNA (450 nucleotides) under uncultured bacterium. RNAcentral describes it as "bacterial SSU rRNA". It matches the Rfam family "Bacterial small subunit ribosomal RNA", at positions 355 to 796 of the family's 1533-position model. The record is from RNAcentral.